GAUGAACGCUGGCGGCGUGCCUAAUACAUGCAAGUCGAGCGAACGGACGAGAAGCUUGCUUCUCUGAUGUUAGCUGCGGACGGGUGAGUAACACGUGGAUAACCUGCCUAUAAGACUGGGAUAACUUCUGGAAACCGUAGCUAAUACCGCAUAAUAUUUUGAACCGCAUGGUUCAAAAUUGAAAGACGGUCUUGCUUUCACUUAUAGAUGGAUCCGCGCUUCAUUAGCUAGUUGGUAAGGUAACGGCUUACCAAGGCAACGAUGCAUAGCCAACCUGAGAGGGUGAUCGGCCAAACUGGAACUGAGAAAAGGUCCAGACUCCUACGGGAGGAAGCAGUAGGGAAUCUUCCGCAAUGGGCGAAAGCCUGACGGAGCAACGCCGCGUGAGUAAUGAAGUUCUUCGGAUCGUAAAACUCUGUUAUUAGGGAAGAACAUAUGUGUAAGUAACUGUGCACAUCUUGACGGUACCUAAUCAGAAAGCCACGGCUAACUACGUG
Molecule: ribosomal RNA, 497 nt
Filed under: uncultured bacterium
Lineage: Bacteria
Description: partial 16S ribosomal RNA
Rfam family: Bacterial small subunit ribosomal RNA
Source: RNAcentral